UGAAUAAUCAUAUAUAGAAUAUCUUUCUUUACCAGAAAAACUGUAGGUUUUAUUUAUUUUUAAUGAGAAAUAUUUAACAUUUAUUAAUUUGGACUUUAAUAUAAAUAUGAUGUACUUUAGAGGCAGCAUUGUAACAGGAAAUCAGGAUAUCCCUGCUUUGCUCUUCUUUUUUCUUCUCUACAUGAUUUAGUUUUUAAUUUCUGCUCAUUUUCCUUAACUUGAAAAUGGAUUGUACCUUCUCUCUCCUUACAUCAUUUUUGUCAUUGUCUUCUCUUUUGUCUAUUGCAUAUUUGCCAAAUGGUAAGCUGUACUCUACAAGGUAUCCACAUAAAGUAGUAUAAGCACAAAUGAAAAUUUUGCAGGAUUUUAAAAUGAUCAUUAAACACAUAAUUUUACUUUUCCCUAUUGUCUUUUCUAUUCCAAAAAGUAAUUUUUACAAAUGGAUAACUGUCCAGCUUUGUCUUUUUGUUAGGGAUUAAAUCUGUGCCGACAGUUCUUUUUGACAGUGACCUUGAGGGGCUUUGCAUCUUGAAGAAGAAAGCAGAAGCUUGCGGUAAACAAAGUUCACUUCUGACAGAUGGAUUGAAUGACAGAAAGGUUGUGAGUGCCAGAAUAGCCCUGGCAGAGGAGGAAAUGUUCAGUGGAAUCCAACAGGAGAGGAGGUGUGAACAGGUGCAGGGUUGCUGACGGAAGGGGAACCAGAUGGAAGGAGCCAGAGCCAGUUUAUUUAAAGGAAAAGGCAGAAAACACUGAAAGACUGUACAAUCAGUGGCUAAAAGUGUGCAUAGAAGAAGAGGCAUACAUUCUGCUGUGCUCAGACUGGAACAUGCACGUUUCCCACUGACUGUUUAUAUGCCAUCCUCGCACAGAGCCAUAGGGAGAAGUGGAGCCAUUGAGGACAUGGAUGUGGUGUGUCACAUACACAUAAGGAUGGUUGAACAAUGAUGAGAAAUGGGAAUGGGAUCAGCAGAGUUCCCAUUGCUCUGAUUGAGACAAAAGGAAGAAUAAGGAAUACCAGCUGUUAGGAAUUGUGGGAGUUGCAAUCCAAAACACCUGGAGUGCCAAAGUUUGCCCAUGCCUGCUUUUGACAGUGUUUUCCAUUAUAUUCUUCCAAACAAGCUAGUAAAGUGUGGGCUGGUCAAUGCUAUUGGGAGAGCUGAAAUGUGGGCCUAUGGAUUGGGGAGCCCUCCUGACCCCGCUCCCCACAACUUUUUUUUAGUAUCACUUGAGCCUGAUGAAUUCUGGAGAACUUGACAUUACUAUCCCAUUUGUGUACAUUUGGUCCCAAUUAAAAGCACUUCUUGAUUUGAUUUUGUUAAUUUGAUUAUGCAUUUGUUAUGUCUUUGCUCAUAUACUAGUGUGCUCAAAAUAUAAUAUAAAGUUGGCUUUAUGGUGUUUCAACUUGCAAGAAUUGUUCUGAUUAAUUUUCAAUGUUUUAUUUAUUGUUUUGUUACUAAGGAUUGGAUGAGAAUUAAAAUGAUUAUUUAGUAUCACAAAAUUCAAAAUCUGCCUUAUUGGAAUAUUCCCUCAAUGAAGUUGGUACUGCAUUACUAUGUGGCUUUCAGACAACUAGAGUGGCGGGGUUUAUGUGGCACACACAGUUUAACAUUUUUUUCCUAAGCGUCCACCUUUUUUAACGC
This is a non-coding RNA of Anolis sagrei ordinatus, 1640 nucleotides long. NCBI's taxonomy places the organism in Eukaryota, Metazoa, Chordata, Lepidosauria, Squamata, Anolidae. The record is from RefSeq and is a predicted model, not a curated record.